RNAcentral lists this unclassified non-coding RNA (285 nucleotides) under Amyloxenasma sp. RNAcentral describes it as "partial contains 5.8S ribosomal RNA, internal transcribed spacer 2, and large subunit ribosomal RNA". The stretch from base 1 to 52 matches the Rfam family "5.8S ribosomal RNA", at positions 103 to 154 of the family's 154-position model. RNAcentral also lists the same sequence under 1 other name. Lineage: Eukaryota; Fungi; Basidiomycota; Agaricomycetes; Amylocorticiales; Amylocorticiaceae. The record is from RNAcentral.
AACGCACCUUGCGCUCCUUGGUAUUCCGAGGAGCAUGCCUGUUUGAGUGUCAUUAACCUCUCAACCCCACCGGUUUUGCGACCGGCUGGCGGCUUGGACUUGGAGCGUGCUGGCGCAAGUCAGCUCCUCUUGAAAUGCAUUAGCGAGUUCACUUCUCUCGCGGUUGGUGUGAUAACUAUCUACGCCUGCAUGCCGUGUCUGUCGAGUGCUCGCUCACAGCCGUCCCUUGCGGACAACUUCAACCAUCGUGACCUCAAAUCAGGUAGGACUACCCGCUGAACUUAA